AAAAGGGCAAAGGAAGCUUCGUAGGAAAGUGAGACCCAUGCAACACGUUUCCUUUUUUUUUCUUUGUUUUUACGCCUGACAUAAUCCCGUUAUCAAAAUAUUCCACCAGUCGCAAAUAAAUAUUUGUUUCAAAGACAAGUUGUUUUGAAGCUUUCAAACAUCGAGGGGGUUGCUCUACGAGUCUACGGCCUUUAUUAAGUUGAAAUUUAAAAGUUUUGUAUAUUUCUACCGCUUGGCGAUUGGGUUAGCUGAUUCUGACGUGGGUCUUCUUGUUUGGGCGAUGGUCUGCUCGUUUGUAACCUUUAAAUAAGGUAUAGCAUGUGUGUAAACCUGUACAUGUUGCUGUUUUCAUUAUUUUCUCGGCUGUUUACGCAUAAUCGAGGAUUGCAUGUUGUAAUGGGGUUUCUCGGGGUUCAGUGGGACUUGAAAGAUUGAAGAUUUGAUGGGUUUCUUGGGCACUGAUGGGCGUUGAAUUUGGAGUCUUGGUGGUUCUGAAGUGUCCAGUGGGUUUGUAGGAAAUUUGGUGAAUUAUAUUGAUUUGGGUUCGUUCUGGAUCCGAGUGUCGCCUCUGUCUUGUUUUGAGGCAGUUAGGGUUGAUUUGAUGCCAUCUUCUUCUUCGUGUAUAUUACUGAUUUGGUUCUCAAUAGAUAGAAAACGUGGCGUUUUGAGGUUGAAACAUUGCAAUUCCCCGUGAAGUGCGGAGUUUUGAAUGAUAUAAUUUUUUUAUUUUAUUGGACAGGGAAGUUGAUUCAGGUUUUUGUGGAUUGGAUUGGUUUGAUAAACUUCCUUGUUGUUAUUGGAUUGAUUAUUCCAAGGUAAGCUACAAAUCAUGGACUUAGAUCCUGAAGAACCAGCGGUUAAUGGAGAGGCAGAUGUAAUGGACAGGGACCUCUUGGGAGACACUCCUCUCAGGGAGCCCCCUCUCUACUGGACCCAUUUUCAGGGUAUGGUGAGACAGAAAGCCUAUAUUUUUGAUGGCCUUGGGAACUUCUAUAAUAAGGAAUGGGAUCUUGCAGAGGGUGGAGGCAAUGAGUUUUGUUGGUACCAUGUGGAGCUUCCAAGAGUAAAUGAAAAACUGUCACAAUCUGCACAAUACCUCAUUGGUGUUCUUUGUCCACCUUUGAAACUCCAAGACAUUCUUUCACUCGUCAGCAAUGGACCCUUUUGUGGGCAUGUUGAUGGGGCUCUUGUCUUCAGAAUUAAUUCACCUGGCCCUGCCUCGAGCGAUUUUACAUUUAGAAUUGCUGCUAGAGUUACUGAGAAUUCAGUCAUCACAGUAUCUUUAGGUCGUGUUCCUAGAUUGGGCUUCUCACGGAUGGCUCAGUCUCUUCUCUCAGAGAUUCCUAGAGUUGAGAGUUCGUAUCUUAGGGGUGAACAUAAGGAAGGGGGUGGAACUGUUAUCAGGGAGCAUGUUCUCGAGUUCUUGUUGACAAUGAAUCACUCUGAGGAGGCUGAUAAUCCCGUGCCAAAAUCUAUCUCUAAUCUUGUUGUUCACAUUCUUGACACACAUGUGGAUCACCUUCAAGAUGUUGUGACUAAACUUGAGAUGGAGCUGGAUUCUGUGGAGCUUCAAUUGGAUAAAGGUGGGUUUGCUUUGAAGAAGCAAAUGCUAGAUGAUAGAAGAUUCCCCAAAAUGCAUAUUAAUUUGCAGCGCCUUCUGCAGGUGAUAGCGCAUGGGGAGCAAGUAUUUCCACGGGUGAAAGAGAAAUGUUCUUCAAAAAGUUGGUUUGGUAUCGAAGACAUUAACUCCCUUGAAGAGUUGAUCGGACGUUUAGGGAGGCUAAAAGACAAUGUGGGGUUCAUAGCAAAUCGUGUCACAGCAAUUCAAGCAGGACUUGAUAGCUGGCAGGCCGAGCAAAUAAACAGGAAACUAUAUUAUCUUUCAUUCCUUUCCAUAAUAUUCCUUCCGCUGUCCAUCAUCACCGGGGUGUUUGGCAUGAAUGUGGGAGGAGUUCCAUGGACAGGGCAAAUGAACUCAAAGUCAAAAGAUGGUUUCCGGAAUGUUAUGUUACUCUGCGUGGCAAUGCUACUUGUGGUACUGAUGUGCUUCUGUUUCCCUGCUCUUUAUACCCAUUUAGCUGCUUGGCAGCGGAGGAGGGUUAUGAGAAGAAGCUGGUCUCUUAACAGGAAGUCAAUCCUCAUGAGAACCGCAGGAAAUGGAGGAGCUCAAGAAAGAGGAGGUUACCUUCGGAUUUGAAUGGAACUGAAAAUGUGUUUAUUAUCUUCCUUUAGCCAGCAAUGUGAAGCCAGUGUGGGCUCCCUCAAAGCUGGGCUACAAUUGGGCAAGUUUGACGAGUGCAUUCAGUUCAAAGUCUGCUGCGAGUGAUGUUGUCGGCAUCGACUUGGGAACAACCAACUCAUGUGUUGCGG
Molecule: RNA transcript, 2370 nt
Organism: Carya illinoinensis
Lineage: Eukaryota; Viridiplantae; Streptophyta; Magnoliopsida; Fagales; Juglandaceae
Gene name: zinc transport protein ZntB-like
Exons: 6
Source: RefSeq, a predicted model, not a curated record